RNAcentral lists this ribosomal RNA (301 nucleotides) under uncultured bacterium. RNAcentral describes it as "partial 16S ribosomal RNA". It matches the Rfam family "Bacterial small subunit ribosomal RNA", at positions 509 to 807 of the family's 1533-position model. The record is from RNAcentral.
CAGUAGCCGCGGGAAUACGGAGGGUGCAAGCGUUAAUCGGAAUUACUGGGCGUAAAGCGCACGCAGGCGGUCUGUCAAGUCAGAUGUGAAAUCCCCGGGCUUAACCUGGGAACUGCAUUUGAAACUGGCAGACUGGAGUCUUGUAGAGGGGGGUAGAAUUCCAGGUGUAGCGGUGAAAUGCGUAGAGAUCUGGAGGAAUACCGGUGGCGAAGGCGGCCCCCUGGACAAAGACUGACGCUCAGGUGCGAAAGCGUGGGGAGCAAACAGGAUUAGAUACCCGAGUAGUCCCUGUCUCUUAUAC